Unclassified non-coding RNA from Otolemur garnettii (small-eared galago), 295 nucleotides. It matches the Rfam family "Metazoan signal recognition particle RNA". From Rfam's summary of the family: The signal recognition particle (SRP) is a universally conserved ribonucleoprotein. It is involved in the co-translational targeting of proteins to membranes. The eukaryotic SRP consists of a 300-nucleotide 7S RNA and six proteins: SRPs 72, 68, 54, 19, 14, and 9. NCBI's taxonomy places the organism in Eukaryota, Metazoa, Chordata, Mammalia, Primates, Galagidae. The record is from Ensembl.
GCCAGGCAGAGUGGCACACACCAAUUAGUCCCAGCUACUCAGGAGGUUGGGGUGGGAGGAUUGCUUGCUUCCAGGUGCUCUGCGCUAUAGUACACAAUGUCAAUCAAGUGUCUGCACUAAUUUCUGUGCCAAUAUGGCAUCUUCCUGAGAGUGGGAGACAACCAGGUUGCCUGAGAGGGAGUGAAUCAGUGCAGGUCAGAAAAGGAGCUCAAAAUCCCUAUGCUGACCAGUAAUGGGAUCAUACCCAUGGGUAGCCACUACACUCCAGCCUGGGCAACAUAGCAAGAUCCCCAUU